CGCAGAUACCAGGUGGCUGCAACUGUUUAUUAAAAACACAGCACUGUGCAAAAUCGCAAGAUGACGUAUACGGUGUGACGCCUGCCCGGUGCCGGAAGGUUAAUUGAUGGGGUUAGCGCAAGCGAAGCUCUUGAUCGAAGCCCCGGUAAACGGCGGCCGUAACUAUAACGGUCCUAAGGUAGCGAAAUUCCUUGUCGGGUAAGUUCCGACCUGCACGAAUGGCGUAAUGAUGGCCACGCUGUCUCCACCCGAGACUCAGUGAAAUUGAAAUCGCUGUGAAGAUGCAGUGUACCCGCGGCUAGACGGAAAGACCCCGUGAACCUUUACUACAGCUUGGCACUGAACAUUGAACCUACAUGUGUAGGAUAGGUGGGAGGCUAUGAAGACGUGACGCCAGUUGCGUUGGAGCCGUCCUUGAAAUACCACCCUUGUAUGUUUGAUGUUCUAACUUAGCCCCAUUAUCUGGGGUGAGGACAGUGCCUGGUGGGUAGUUUGACUGGGGCGGUCUCCUCCCAAAGAGUAACGGAGGAGCACGAAGGUGGGCUAAUCACGGUUGGACAUCGUGAGGUUAGUGCAAUGGCAUAAGCCCGCUUAACUGCGAGAAUGACGGUUCGAGCAGGUGCGAAAGCAGGUCAUAGUGAUCCGGUGGUUCUGUAUGGAAGGGCCAUCGCUCAACGGAUAAAAGGUACUCCGGGGAUAACAGGCUGAUACCGCCCAAGAGUUCAUAUCGACGGCGGUGUUUGGCACCUCGAUGUCGGCUCAUCACAUCCUGGGGCUGAAGUCGGUCCCAAGGGUAUGGCUGUUCGCCAUUUAAAGUGGUACGCGAGCUGGGUUUAGAACGUCGUGAGACAGUUCGGUCCCUAUCUGCCGUGGGCGUUGGAAGAUUGAAGGGGGCUGCUCCUAGUACGAGAGGACCGGAGUGGACGAACCUCUGGUGUUCGGGUUGUGUCGCCAGACGCAUUGCCCGGUAGCUAAGUUCGGAAUUGAUAAGCGCUGAAAGCAUCUAAGCGCGAAGCGAGCCCUGAGAUGAGUCUUCCCUGACAGUUUAACUGUCCUAAAGGGUUGUUCGAGACUAGAACGUUGAUAGGCAGGGUGUGUAAGCGUUGUGAGGCGUUGAGCUAACCUGUACUAAUUGCCCGUGAGGC
RNAcentral lists this ribosomal RNA (1145 nucleotides) under Vibrio cholerae. RNAcentral's name for it is "partial 23S ribosomal RNA". It matches the Rfam family "Bacterial large subunit ribosomal RNA", at positions 1778 to 2917 of the family's 2925-position model. Lineage: Bacteria; Pseudomonadati; Pseudomonadota; Gammaproteobacteria; Vibrionales; Vibrionaceae. The record is from RNAcentral.